Molecule: transfer RNA, 69 nt
Filed under: Myomenippe fornasinii
Lineage: Eukaryota; Metazoa; Arthropoda; Malacostraca; Decapoda; Menippidae
Description: tRNA-Trp
Rfam family: tRNA
About the family: Transfer RNA (tRNA) molecules are approximately 80 nucleotides in length. Their secondary structure includes four short double-helical elements and three loops (D, anti-codon, and T loops).
Source: RNAcentral
AGGACUUUAAGUUAUUUAAACUAAAAGCCUUCAAAGCUUUAAAAAAAAGUUAUAAUCUUUUAAGUCCUA